Molecule: non-coding RNA, 974 nt
Organism: Acanthopagrus latus (yellowfin seabream)
Lineage: Eukaryota; Metazoa; Chordata; Actinopteri; Spariformes; Sparidae
Source: the annotation of a RefSeq genome assembly
UUUGACACAAACACACUCAACACAAUUAGUCUCUGAUUGUAAAAUAUUAUUGGCUGAUAUGAAAAGUGACGAUAUAGAAAGCCAAAGAUUUACAGGAUUAUGUUUUAUUUGAUAUAUGUUCAUUUUUAAUGAAACUUAAUUUACUCUUCAUUUAAUUUCAUUAAACCAUACGACAUUGUGAAAAACAUUUUCACCAAACACAAAGCCAAACUCAGAUAAGAUUGACAUUCAAAAUAUCCUCAUCAAUAAUUUGAGUGAUUGAUCGAUUGAUAAGCAGCAUGAUGAGAGUAAUCCAAGUCCCUGUUGGAGUCAGUCAGAGCAUUUCCAUAGAGAGCCACUUUGCAUCAGCAGCACCAUGCUCCAGUGCUCUGGGAGAGUUUAUAGUCCUGAGAGUUGAACACUGGAUGACUGACAGCUGUCCUUCAUGACAACAGAAGACACAGAAAUCCUCCUCAUCAAAAACAUGACUUUGACCUGCGUCCUCAUCUGGACUCUCCUCUGCUGCUGCUUCACAGAGUCCAGAGGUCAGAUCACAGUGACUCAGCCUGGAGCAGUGAGCUCUGCUCUGGGAGGCUCCGUCACCAUCAACUGUAGGACCAGUCAGGAUGUUUAUUUUAAUGGCCAUUACCAUUUUUUAGCCUGGUACCAACAGAGAGAUGGAGAAACUCCUAAACUUCUCAUUUACACUGCUAGCACUCGAGCAUCAGGGACUCCAGGUCGUUUUACAGGCAGUGGAUCAAACUCUGCCUUCACUCUGACCAUCAGUGGAGUUCAGGCUGAAGAUGCAGCAGUUUACUACUGUCAGAGUCUUCAUUAUCCCAACAGUCAGUGGGUGUUCACACAGUGAAAAACCGUCGUACAAAAACCUCCCUCAGUCAGACUGAACAGAAACUGAACUGACUGCUGCAGCUGGAAGCUACUGCAGAGACUGAUACACUUCACUGAGGACACACACACACACACACACACACACA